GUCUAUGGCCAUUCUACCGUGAUCUUGCCUGAUCUGGUCUGAUCUUGGAAGCUAAGCAGGGUGGAAGUGGAUUAGUACUUGGAUGGGAGACUGUCUGGAAUACCAGGGGUUGUAGGCU
This 118-nucleotide ribosomal RNA is filed under the name Monodelphis domestica (gray short-tailed opossum). The record is from RNAcentral. Lineage: Eukaryota; Metazoa; Chordata; Mammalia; Didelphimorphia; Didelphidae.